Molecule: ribosomal RNA, 294 nt
Filed under: uncultured bacterium
Lineage: Bacteria
Description: partial 16S ribosomal RNA
Rfam family: Bacterial small subunit ribosomal RNA
Source: RNAcentral
UCCCUACGGGAGGCAGCAGUAGGGAAUCUUCCACAAUGGACGAAAGUCUGAUGGAGCAACGCCGCGUGAGUGAAGAAGGGUUUCGGCUCGUAAAGCUCUGUUGGUAGUGAAGAAAGAUAGAGGUAGUAACUGGCCUUUAUUUGACGGUAAUUACUUAGAAAGUCACGGCUAACUACGUGCCAGCAGCCGCGGUAAUACGUAGGUGGCAAGCGUUGUCCGGAUUUAUUGGGCGUAAAGCGAGUGCAGGCGGUUCCAUAAGUCUGCUGUUGAAUCCUUCGGCUCCACCGGAGGAUU